Molecule: ribosomal RNA, 382 nt
Filed under: uncultured eukaryote
Lineage: Eukaryota
Description: SSU rRNA
Rfam family: Eukaryotic small subunit ribosomal RNA
Source: RNAcentral
AGCUCCAAUAGCGUAUAUUAAAGUUGUUGCAGUUAAAAAGCUCGUAGUCGGAUUUUGGCAUCAUGCCGAACUGUCAGCCGAUUGGUUUGUACGGUUUGGCGGGUGCUCUCCUUCCGGAGGCUCGUUUCCUUCUUCAUUGAAGGGUUCGAUGGUUCCGGGUCUUUUACUUUGAAAAAAUUAGAGUGUUCAAAGCAGGCCUAUGCUCUGAAUAGGUUAGCAUGGAAUAAUAGAAUAGGACUUUGGUUCUAUUUUGUUGGUUUCUAGGACCGAAGUAAUGAUUAAUAGGGACAGUUGGGGGCAUUCAUAUUCCAAUGUCAGAGGUGAAAUUCUUGGAUUAUCGGAAGAUGAACUUCUGCGAAAGCAUCUGCCAAGGAUGUUUUCA